Molecule: ribosomal RNA, 91 nt
Filed under: bacterium
Lineage: Bacteria
Source: RNAcentral
GCCUCUUCCCAUUUCGAACAGAGCAGCUAAGCCCUUCUUCGCCAAUGGUACUGCUACCGCAAGGUUGUGGGAGAGUAGGUCGCCAGCGGGG